AAGACGACUGCACAUGCGUAAUUACUUGGUUCAGACAGCAGGUUCAUUAAUUUGCACGUGGCUGGAUAAGAGCAUGAAGUGGACUGUGAUAUUGUUGCACCUCAAGUAUCGAUAGGAAUUCUCACUGUGGUGCCAGAGGACAGCCUGAUGUCUCCACAAGGUUUGCCAUCGGAGGUCACUGAUGCAGCAAUAAUCUUGGAGGGUGUUAUAGCAAUGGAUGGAAUUGAGAAUGUUCCAUGUGCCGUGUGUCUUGUUUUUGGGCUGAUCUAUGCUUUAAACAUGGUGUACCCUUCACAGCUUAAAAACACUUUUGAGUUCAUUCAAAGGGUUUUUCUUUCCCUGGGGCACAAAUCUCUCAAACCAAAACUGCAGUCACUAAAAAUCUUACUGUUUUAAUGUGUUUCUGAUGGCAGAAAAAAGACCAUGUUACUGUAGGAUCUGUUGCUUUUUUUUUGUUUUGUUUUAAUCAGUCACCUGCCAACCUGGAUACAAAACCAAAACUGAUUCAACUAAAAGCUUUGUAGUCAAGAAUUUGUUCAAUAUGUUUUUAAUAGCAGAAAAAAGACUGUCUUAGGUCUAUUGUUGCACCUUGGGUGUUUUAUCCAGAUUGAUGGGUGACUGAUUAAAAAUCUCAAUACCCGUAACCUAAAAUUUUUUUUAAUCUGUUGUUGUUUCUGAUGGCAGAAAAAGACCAUGUUAUUGUAGGUCUGAUUUUGCACCUUGGGUGUUUAUUCCAGGUUGAUGGGUGACUGAAUAAAAAAAAAUCUGUUUUAUUUAAAAUGUUUAGUAUUUGCAGAAAUAAGGAUUUGUUACUGUACGUCUUUUUUUUUUUUGGUCCUCCAUUAACUUGGGUAUAAAUCCUAGAAAAGCAAAGCUGUAGUUGGUCAACUGUAAUUUUGGUCAAGAUUUGUUCUUUGUAUUUCUGAUGGCAGAAACAAGACCGAGUUGCAGUAGGUCUGUUAAAUUUCUUGGGAGUUUUAAUCA
This is a long non-coding RNA of Tachysurus fulvidraco (yellow catfish), 984 nucleotides long. RefSeq lists it as uncharacterized. Lineage: Eukaryota; Metazoa; Chordata; Actinopteri; Siluriformes; Bagridae. The record is from RefSeq and is a predicted model, not a curated record. The transcript is spliced from 2 exons.